This is a long non-coding RNA of Homo sapiens (human), 1516 nucleotides long. Ensembl annotates it as transmembrane BAX inhibitor motif containing 7, pseudogene. Its record names the gene TMBIM7P. The record is from Ensembl. NCBI's taxonomy places the organism in Eukaryota, Metazoa, Chordata, Mammalia, Primates, Hominidae.
GAUCUCCCCCUGCGCUCCCUUCUUCCACAUGGAGGACGACGUGGUCUUGCAUACGCUGCAGAAAUGGGAUCUCACUAUGUUGCCCAGGCUGGUCUCAAACUCCUGGACUCAAGCAAUCAAUCCUCCCACCUUGGCCUCCAAAAACAUUGAAAUUACAGUUGAAAUUGGACUUGGAGGUCAGCGAACCAAUAGACUUUGGUUCUGGAGGUCAUCAACAUCUGAUUCAGGAAGCAGCAGAUAAAAGCAUCCAGUCCCAAUCUGGUGAGCGCUACACACCUUCAUCUUCAGCUGGGCCACAAGAAACUCGGAAGAAGCCACGGCCAAAGGACACCGAGCAGUUGAAUACCUGUGUGAUAGAAAUUUCAGAUGACGUCACCCCAGGUGAUAACAAUGCAACUUUAGGCAAUCCUUUCUCAGACGCAUCUGUCCGCAGAGGGAGGCUUUAAAAGUUUGGGUGCUCAAAAAUCCCUGGUUCAUCUCUGCAAUCUUCUCAGCAUUUUUUGCCAUACUUAUUAUACUUGAUUGCUGUGGGAAUCUCCCCCGUCAGGUGCCUGCAGAUUACAUUCUCCUGGGAUUCUUUUUGCCCUGUGGCUGUGUGUACCAGGCUGUGCAUAUUCCGCCUUGCUCCCUAGACCCUGCUCAGAAGCACACCCCUCAAAUCACCUCUUCUGGAUUCCGGGCCUCGCCCCCAUGCCUCGGGAAGCAGGCUUCUGAUUUAUUGUGAAUUUUGUUUUUAGACAGCUCUUCAAGGUCUGCAGCUAGGAGCCGUAUCAGUUUUCUACAAGGCCGAGGAAGUGUCAUGGGCAACAGCUGCAACCACUCUGGUGAUGCUAGCACUCACUUUGUUUGCUCUACAAACAAAAUGGGAUUUUACCUGGCUAAAUGGAGCACUAUUCGUUUUCUGCUUCGUGCUUUUAAUCUAUGGAAUUACCUUAAUCUUCGUGCGAUUAUAGUGGCUGCAUCUAUUAUAUGCUGGACUCGGAACUGUGCUCUUCUCACUCUACUUGGUGAUCGAUGUGCAGCUCAUGCUGGGAGGGCACCGCCAUUAUUCCCUGGACCCUGAAGGGUAUGUUUUUGCUAUCCUGAACAUCUACUUGGACAUCAUCGACCUUUUCAUUUUUAUUCUGCGUCUGAUUGGACGGGGACGGUAGUCACGCAACCAAGGCUGGCUCGUGCGGAGAAGAGGAAGGAGGGGUGCUGUGGAGUGUUGCCGGGCUCAGGCAUGCAGAAGUCACCACUUCAGAAGCUCUUUUAUUUAAAAAAAAAUUUUAAGAAUACUUUUUUUUUGUCAAAUGAAACCAAGAAUUGAGUAGAUGAUAGCUGUAGCUGUUAUAUUUUUAGUUCCAUUGUCACGUAGCAAAACUUUCUGGGGACAUUUCUAAUUUUUAUAGAUUCAAAAGAUGAGUAUCAUAAUUACAUACUUACAAACAUUUGUAUAAUGCCCAUUCCUUUGUUGGAGUUUUCUGAACACUAUUUAAAGCUGUAAACAACAUAUCUCCACGUGAAUACAAUUGAC